CCUACGGGAGGCAGCAGUGGGGAAUAUUGCACAAUGGGCGCAAGCCUGAUGCAGCGACGCCGCGUGAGGGAUGACGGCCUUCGGGUUGUAAACCUCUUUCAGUAGGGAAGAAGCGAAAGUGACGGUACCUGCAGAAGAAGCGCCGGCUAACUACGUGCCAGCAGCCGCGGUAAUACGUAGGGCGCAAGCGUUAUCCGGAAUUAUUGGGCGUAAAGAGCUCGUAGGCGGUUUGUCGCGUCUGCCGUGAAAGUCCGGGGCUCAACUCCGGAUCUGCGGUGGGUACGGGCAGACUAGAGUGAUGUAGGGGAGACUGGAAUUCCUGGUGUAGCGGUGAAAUGCGCAGAUAUCAGGAGGAACACCGAUGGCGAAGGCAGGUCUCUGGGCAUUAACUGACGCUGAGGAGCGAAAGCA
This 411-nucleotide ribosomal RNA is filed under the name uncultured Arthrobacter sp. RNAcentral's name for it is "bacterial SSU rRNA". It matches the Rfam family "Bacterial small subunit ribosomal RNA", at positions 338 to 761 of the family's 1533-position model. Lineage: Bacteria; Bacillati; Actinomycetota; Actinomycetes; Micrococcales; Micrococcaceae. The record is from RNAcentral.